Small nuclear RNA from Lontra canadensis (Northern American river otter), 141 nucleotides. RefSeq annotates it as U4 spliceosomal RNA. The record is from RefSeq and is a predicted model, not a curated record. The transcript has a single exon. Lineage: Eukaryota; Metazoa; Chordata; Mammalia; Carnivora; Mustelidae.
AGCUUUGCGCAGUGGCAGUACCGUAGCCAAUGAGGUUUAUCUGAGGCGCGAUUAUUGCUAAUUGAAAACUAAAGAUUCAAGAUACUAAAGAGAUGAAGUUGUAUUGGAAUAUUUCUUUUUUUAAUAAAAUGUUAUUUAACA